UCGGCGUGCCUAACACAUGCAAGUCGAGCGAUUCUCUUCGGAUUAGAGCGGCGGACGGGUGAGUAACGCGUGGGUAACCUGCCCUGUACACACGGAUAACAUACCGAAAGGUAUGCUAAUACGAGAUAAUAUGCUUUUAUCGCAUGGUAGAAGUAUCAAAGCUUUUGCGGUACAGGAUGGACCCGCGUCUGAUUAGCUAGUUGGUAAGGUAACGGCUUACCAAGGCGACGAUCAGUAGCCGACCUGAGAGGGUGAUCGGCCACAUUGGAACUGAGACACGGUCCAAACUCCUACGGGAGGCAGCAGUGGGGAAUAUUGCACAAUGGGCGAAAGCCUGAUGCAGCAACGCCGCGUGAGCGAUGAAGGCCUUCGGGUCGUAAAGCUCUGUCCUCAAGGAAGAUAAUGACGGUACUUGAGGAGGAAGCCCCGGCUAACUACGUGCCAGCAGCCGCGGUAAUACGUAGGGGGCUAGCGUUAUCCGGAAUUACUGGGCGUAAAGGGUGCGUAGGUGGUUUCUUAAGUCAGAGGUGAAAGGCUACGGCUCAACUGUAGUAAGCCUUUGAAACUGGGAAACUUGAGUGCAGGAGAGGAGAGUGGAAUUCCUAGUGUAGCGGUGAAAUGCGUAGAUAUUAGGAGGAACACCAGUUGCGAAGGCGGCUCUCUGGACUGUAACUGACACUGAGGCACGAAAGCGUGGGGAGCAAACAGGAUUAGAUACCCUGGUAGUCCACGCCGUAAACGAUGAGUACUAGCUGUCGGAGGUUACCCCCUUCGGUGGCGCAGCUAACGCAUUUAGUACUCCGCCU
RNAcentral lists this ribosomal RNA (806 nucleotides) under uncultured organism. Its description in RNAcentral is "SSU rRNA". It matches the Rfam family "Bacterial small subunit ribosomal RNA", at positions 39 to 874 of the family's 1533-position model. The record is from RNAcentral.